GUCUAUAGCCAUACCACCCUGAACGCGCCCGAUCUCGUCUGAUCUCGGAAGCUAAGCAGGGUCGGGCCUCGUUAGUACUUGGAUGGGAAAACUGGGAAACUAAACACU
Molecule: ribosomal RNA, 108 nt
Filed under: Felis catus (domestic cat)
Lineage: Eukaryota; Metazoa; Chordata; Mammalia; Carnivora; Felidae
Source: RNAcentral